RNAcentral lists this ribosomal RNA (422 nucleotides) under uncultured bacterium. Its description in RNAcentral is "bacterial SSU rRNA". It matches the Rfam family "Bacterial small subunit ribosomal RNA", at positions 355 to 774 of the family's 1533-position model. The record is from RNAcentral.
UGAGGAAUAUUGGUCAAUGGGUGCAAGCCUGAACCAGCCAUCCCGCGUGAAGGACGACUGCCCUAUGGGUUGUAAACUUCUUUUGUCUAGGGAUAAACCUACCCUCGUGAGGGUAGCUGAAGGUACUAUACGAAUAAGCACCGGCUAACUCCGUGCCAGCAGCCGCGGUAAUACGGAGGGUGCAAGCGUUAUCCGGAUUUAUUGGGUUUAAAGGGUCCGUAGGCGGACUUAUAAGUCAGUGGUGAAAGCCUGUCGCUUAACGAUAGAACUUUCAUUGAUACUGUUAGUCUUGAGUACAGUCGAGGUAGGCGGAAUGUGUCAUGUAGCGGUGAAAUGCUUAGAUAUGACACAGAACACCGAUUGCGAAGGCAGCUUGCUAAGCUGUAACUGACGCUGAGGCACGAAAGCGUGGGGAGCAAACA